RNAcentral lists this ribosomal RNA (440 nucleotides) under uncultured bacterium. RNAcentral describes it as "bacterial SSU rRNA". It matches the Rfam family "Bacterial small subunit ribosomal RNA", at positions 338 to 795 of the family's 1533-position model. The record is from RNAcentral.
CCUACGGGGGGCAGCAGUGGGGAAUAUUGGACAAUGGGCGCAAGCCUGAUCCAGCCAUGCCUCGUGAGUGAUGAAGGCCUUAUGGUUUUAAAUCUCUUUUGUCCUUGACGAUAAUGACGGUACCGUAAGAAUAAUCCCCUGCUAACUUCGUUCCAGCAGCCUCGGUAAUACGAAGGGGGCUAGCGUUGCUCGGAAUCACUGGGCGUAAAGGGCGCGUAGGCGGCCAUUUAAGUCGGGGGUGAAAGCCUGUGGCUCAACCACAGAAUUGCCUUCGAUACUGGGUGGCUUGAGUACGGAAGAGGUUGGUGGAACUGCGAGUGUAGAGGUGAAAUUCGUAGAUAUUCGCAAGAACACCGGUGGCGAAGGCGGCCAAAUGGUAAGGAACUGAAGCUGAGGAGCGAAAGCGUGGGGAGCAAACAGGAUUAGAUACCCCUGUAGUC